AUACGACCAUAUCACGUUGAAACACCGGUCCUCGUACGAUCACCAAAGUUAAGCAACGUCGUGCCUGGUCAGUAUCUAAACGGAUGACCGCUUGGGAAUAUCAGAUGCUGUAAG
Acanthosepion pharaonis is the source of this 114-nucleotide non-coding RNA. Lineage: Eukaryota; Metazoa; Mollusca; Cephalopoda; Sepiida; Sepiidae. The record is from the annotation of a GenBank genome assembly.